GACGAACGCUGGCGGCGUGCUUAACACAUGCAAGUCGAACGGAAAGGCCCUGCUUUUGUGGGGUGCUCGAGUGGCGAACGGGUGAGUAACACGUGAGUAACCUGCCCUUGACUUUGGGAUAACUUCAGGAAACUGGGGCUAAUACCGGAUAGGAGCUCCUGCUGCAUGGUGGGGGUUGGAAAGUUUCGGCGGUUGGGGAUGGACUCGCGGCUUAUCAGCUUGUUGGUGGGGUAGUGGCUUACCAAGGCUUUGACGGGUAGCCGGCCUGAGAGGGUGACCGGCCACAUUGGGACUGAGAUACGGCCCAGACUCCUACGGGAGGCAGCAGUGGGGAAUAUUGCACAAUGGGCGGAAGCCUGAUGCGGCAACGCCGCGUGCGGGAUGACGGCCUUCGGGUUGUAAACCGCUUUCGCCUGUGACGAAGCGUGAGUGACGGUAAUGGGUAAAGAAGCACCGGCUAACUACGUU
RNAcentral lists this ribosomal RNA (468 nucleotides) under uncultured bacterium. Its description in RNAcentral is "partial 16S ribosomal RNA". It matches the Rfam family "Bacterial small subunit ribosomal RNA", at positions 28 to 507 of the family's 1533-position model. The record is from RNAcentral.